This 253-nucleotide ribosomal RNA is filed under the name uncultured bacterium. Its description in RNAcentral is "partial 16S ribosomal RNA". It matches the Rfam family "Bacterial small subunit ribosomal RNA", at positions 524 to 776 of the family's 1533-position model. The record is from RNAcentral.
UACGAAGGGGGCUAGCGUUGCUCGGAAUUACUGGGCGUAAAGGGAGCGUAGGCGGAUAGUUUAGUCAGAGGUGAAAGCCCAGGGCUCAACCCUGGAAUUGCCUUUGAUACUGGCUAUCUUGAGUACGGGAGAGGUGUGUGGAACUCCGAGUGUAGAGGUGAAAUUCGUAGAUAUUCGGAAGAACACCAGUGGCGAAGGCGACACACUGGCCCGUUACUGACGCUGAGGCACGAAAGCGUGGGGAGCAAACAGG